Molecule: long non-coding RNA, 1169 nt
Organism: Cavia porcellus (domestic guinea pig)
Lineage: Eukaryota; Metazoa; Chordata; Mammalia; Rodentia; Caviidae
Exons: 2
Source: RefSeq, a predicted model, not a curated record
UCAGGAUGGAUAAAAGCCUUUCCCACAACCAGUGAGACCUACUAAAGUCCUGUUACAGGAAAUCAUCCCAAGGACUACAACCAAGUCUAAGAUGCAGCAUUCACCAAUGAUGAAGUUGUUCUGGCUAAAACACCUGGUACCAGCUUCUACAUGGGCAUCAACCGUCAUCCUGUCAAGCUUCCCGAACCCCAGUAUGGCACCUGCUUUCAGCAAGAAGUAGUAAGAGAGAGACUUGGCCCUUUUCCUAACAAUCCAAAGACAGGAAUGAAAGGUUCUUGCCUUAGUAGAAAUUACUGUGGUGGUCUAACGAGGUAGAAGGCCAAAGCAUGAACGCCUACCAUUUUCUGCUUCUUCCCCAGCUCCUGUUUGUGCGUGAAGAAAAUUCCAAUAGGCUGCUCGAGCCAGCAGUGCCUGCCCUAAGUGCCAUCCCAUGCCCCACGUUUCCAGAAGAAAAAGCCACGCCCCAGCGGUCAUGGACUUUUCUCCCGUCCUUGGAAUAAAGGCUAUUUUUUACUUUAUAUUCUCUCAUCGCGCAGACAACUCUUUCAACGAUGUUUGGACAACAGGGCGGCACAGCAUUUGGGAAUCAUUUUCAGCAACCUGGAAUCUGACCCACACUCACAAUGUGUCCUCCACACUGGGAGCAAACUAGGCAGAAAUGGCACAACAGGACAAGGACAGCAGGCUCUCCUAGGGCAAGCAGAACAUAAAGAGACAUUCAAUUGCUCCCGUAUUUUUAGCAGUGAUUGGUACUUAUUGCAUCAAGUUAAUCCACCGCUUAAAAUCAGUCACUCACCUGUUAACUCCACAGCACUGUCCCUGCUCUGUGCAUGACCCCAACAGUGACUGAGAGUCUGGGGGGCUGAGGCAGACUGUGUAAAGUGGCCCUCUGGUUAUCGAUACCUCACUGUGAAUGCGCCCUGCAGGGGAGAGGCAUCCCAGGGGCCAGAAGGGAAGAGGAGACUCCACUCCAAAGACAUUUUAGCCCCACCCAAUGUCUUGAGGACCGACCCAGAGAGAAGACUAUAUGGGAUGAAGACACCCUCUCUGUGUUUCUCAAGGACAGGCACUUUUCUGUCACUGUCAUUCAAUGUCUUUACCUGUGUGUGUAGGGGUGUGUUUAUCUGGCAACCCGAGGAGAAAUCAUAAUAUACUUCCCCAUGGCAACA